CUUUAGUUACAAAUUGGUUAUGUUGUAUAUUAAACAGUCUAUCAGACUAUUUUUUGAUAUUCAUUAUUUAUACGUCAUUACACGGCUCUAUUAAAUGCUAUUAAAUUAUCCUCAUCCAUUGGGAGUGUCAUUGUUAAGGCAGUAGUACCCGCAAAUAACCAAUAGGUGUCAGUAAACUAUGUAAACAGAGCAAAUAAGUUUAUUUGCUCUGUUUACAUUUAAUCAACACAUUUAAUUAAGUGUAGCAAGGUAACAAAGAGGGGCGGGGUCUCUAACCCUAUUACAGAUUGCCAAUAAGCCGCGCUUAUUUAAAGGACAGGCGAAAGCGAAGGGCGGCUGGGGUCCUGUUAGCAAUUGCCCGUUGUUCGGCUUGUAGCUGUGUGGGACCAUUAGUCCCGGUAUAUUUCCCCCGGUAUAAGUAUUUUACUGUUUUUAGCAUGUGAUAGUUUGAAACUCAGGAUCAUUGUGGAUUUGUUUUGCCAAGAAUGUGGGUUUGAUGUUCGGGACCACCGUGCAGUUGGCUGGUUGGUUUCGUUUCGUUAAGGUAUGUUUAAUUGUUAUUUGGUUUGUUUAUUUGAUUGUGACUGGUAAUAAUUAAAUGGCCUAUUUCGUUAUAGGUUGUUGGAUGAUAGUGACUAGUCGCUGUUCUCUUUUGGGUUUUCUUUUUUGUAAAAUUGACUGCUCCCUGUGGUGAAUGUAUGUUAAAUCCCUAGCCAGCUGGUGUUUUGUUUCUUUUCGAAUUAAGUUUGUGUAAUUUGGUUUAAUGGUUGGCUAGGGGAUUUUUAUUUUUAUUUUUCCGUUCUCUUUUUAAGUACAUUUGAUUUUCUGUGUCUUCCUGUACCCUUUGGGUAUACCCCUUGGGUAGCUUCCCACCAAUUUGUGGGGAAUCAGAGACGGGGAUUGAUAGAGCCCCAACAGGUUUUGUGUGCUUAAUUGUGUGAUGUAUUGAUAUUGAGGGUGCAUUAUUAAUGAUUUGUGGUGGGUUUAUGGGGCGGAAAUUGCUGUGCUCAUACAGUUUGCAGUGAAACUACUCUCCCUGUAGGAAGCUCUACUAUCUUUUGUCUGCUGAGUAUACCAUCUGAAGGAGGCUGCUCUGGGGGGCUGUGUCCGGUCAGGGUGAACGACCCAAAUUAUUUUUAUGUUCUGUUAAAUAAAGUUUAAUGUGUUUUCUA
Molecule: long non-coding RNA, 1172 nt
Organism: Tachysurus fulvidraco (yellow catfish)
Lineage: Eukaryota; Metazoa; Chordata; Actinopteri; Siluriformes; Bagridae
Exons: 2
Source: RefSeq, a predicted model, not a curated record